RNAcentral lists this ribosomal RNA (1116 nucleotides) under Salmonella enterica subsp. enterica serovar Amersfoort. RNAcentral describes it as "partial 23S ribosomal RNA". It matches the Rfam family "Bacterial large subunit ribosomal RNA", at positions 626 to 1742 of the family's 2925-position model. The record is from RNAcentral. Lineage: Bacteria; Pseudomonadati; Pseudomonadota; Gammaproteobacteria; Enterobacterales; Enterobacteriaceae.
ACUUAUAUUCUGUAGCAAGGUUAACCGAAUAGGGGAGCCGGAGGGAAACCGAGUCUUAACCGGGCGUUAAGUUGCAGGGUAUAGACCCGAAACCCGGUGAUCUAGCCAUGGGCAGGUUGAAGGUUGGGUAACACUAACUGGAGGACCGAACCGACUAAUGUUGAAAAAUUAGCGGAUGACCUGUGGCUGGGGGUGAAAGGCCAAUCAAACCGGGAGAUAGCUGGUUCUCCCCGAAAGCUAUUUAGGUAGCGCCUCGUGAAUUCAUCUCCGGGGGUAGAGCACUGUUUCGGCUAGGGGGCCAUCCCGGCUUACCAACCCGAUGCAAACUGCGAAUACCGGAGAAUGUUAUCACGGGAGACACACGGCGGGUGCUAACGUCCGUCGUGAAGAGGGAAACAACCCAGACCGCCAGCUAAGGUCCCAAAGUCAUGGUUAAGUGGGAAACGAUGUGGGAAGGCCCAGACAGCCAGGAUGUUGGCUUAGAAGCAGCCAUCAUUUAAAGAAAGCGUAAUAGCUCACUGGUCGAGUCGGCCUGCGCGGAAGAUGUAACGGGGCUAAACCAUGCACCGAAGCUGCGGCAGCGACACUGAUGUGUUGUUGGGUAGGGGAGCGUUCUGUAAGCCUGCGAAGGUGGCCUGUGAGGGUUGCUGGAGGUAUCAGAAGUGCGAAUGCUGACAUAAGUAACGAUAAAGCGGGUGAAAAGCCCGCUCGCCGGAAGACCAAGGGUUCCUGUCCAACGUUAAUCGGGGCAGGGUGAGUCGACCCCUAAGGCGAGGCCGAAAGGCGUAGUCGAUGGGAAACGGGUUAAUAUUCCCGUACUUGGUGUUACUGCGAAGGGGGGACGGAGAAGGCUAUGUUGGCCGGGCGACGGUUGUCCCGGUUUAAGCGUGUAGGUGUGUGUUCCAGGUAAAUCCGGUUCACUUUAACACUGAGGCGUGAUGACGAGGCACUACGGUGCUGAAGUAACAAAUGCCCUGCUUCCAGGAAAAGCCUCUAAGCAUCAGGUAACAUCAAAUCGUACCCCAAACCGACACAGGUGGUCAGGUAGAGAAUACCAAGGCGCUUGAGAGAACUCGGGUGAAGGAACUAGGCAAAAUGGUGCCGUAACUUCGGGAG